GCACUGUUGAGGAGUCCAAUCAUAGGACGAAACGACCGUCCAGUGC
This 46-nucleotide non-coding RNA is filed under the name Schistosoma mansoni. The record is from RNAcentral. Lineage: Eukaryota; Metazoa; Platyhelminthes; Trematoda; Strigeidida; Schistosomatidae.